AGUGAACGCUGGCGGUAGGCCUAACACAUGCAAGUCGAACGGCAGCACAGUAAGAGCUUGCUCUUACGGGUGGCGAGUGGCGGACGGGUGAGGAAUACAUCGGAAUCUACUUUUUCGUGGGGGAUAACGUAGGGAAACUUACGCUAAUACCGCAUAUGACCUACGGGUGAAAGCAGGGGAUCUUCGGACCUUGCGCGAUUGAAUGAGCCGAUGUCGGAUUAGCUAGUCGGCGGGGUAAAGGCCCACCAAGGCGACGAUCCGUAGCUGGUCUGAGAGGAUGAUCAGCCACACUGGAACUGAGACACGGUCCAGACUCCUACGGGAGGCAGCAGUGGGGAAUAUUGGACAAUGGGCGCAAGCCUGAUCCAGCCAUACCGCGUGGGUGAAGAAGGCCUUCGGGUUGUAAGGCCCUUUUGUUGGGAAAGAAAAGCAGCAGGUUAAUACCCCGCUGUUCUGACGGUACCCAAAGAAUAAGCACCGGCUAACUUCGUG
RNAcentral lists this ribosomal RNA (492 nucleotides) under uncultured bacterium. RNAcentral's name for it is "partial 16S ribosomal RNA". It matches the Rfam family "Bacterial small subunit ribosomal RNA", at positions 29 to 507 of the family's 1533-position model. The record is from RNAcentral.